GGGCGCUUAGCUCAGUGGCAGAGCGACUCGUUUACACCGAGUAGGUCCAAGGUUCGAUCCCUUGAGCGCCCA
RNAcentral lists this transfer RNA (72 nucleotides) under bacterium. RNAcentral's name for it is "tRNA-Val". It matches the Rfam family "tRNA". From Rfam's summary of the family: Transfer RNA (tRNA) molecules are approximately 80 nucleotides in length. Their secondary structure includes four short double-helical elements and three loops (D, anti-codon, and T loops). RNAcentral also lists the same sequence under 1 other name. The record is from RNAcentral.